This 72-nucleotide transfer RNA is filed under the name bacterium. Its description in RNAcentral is "tRNA-Met". It matches the Rfam family "tRNA". From Rfam's summary of the family: Transfer RNA (tRNA) molecules are approximately 80 nucleotides in length. RNAcentral also lists the same sequence under 2 other names. The record is from RNAcentral.
GCCAGUAUAGCUCAGCGGUAGAGUAGGGGACUCAUAAGCCCUUGGUCGCAGGUUCGAAUCCUGCUACUGGCA